UACAGAGGGUGCAAGCGUUGUUCGGAAUUACUGGGCGUAAAGCGCGUGUAGGCGGCCUAUUAAGUCAGAUGUGAAAUCCCUUGGCUCAACUGAGGAACUGCAUCUGAUACUGGUAGGCUUGAGUGUCGGAGGGGAUGGUAGAAUUCCUGGUGUAGAGGUGAAAUGCGUAGAUAUCUGGAGGAACACCGGUGGCGAAGGCGGCAUCCUGGACCGACACUGACGCUGAGGCGCGAAAGCUAGGGGAGCAAACGGG
RNAcentral lists this ribosomal RNA (253 nucleotides) under uncultured bacterium. Its description in RNAcentral is "partial 16S ribosomal RNA". It matches the Rfam family "Bacterial small subunit ribosomal RNA", at positions 524 to 776 of the family's 1533-position model. The record is from RNAcentral.